GGGUGUAUAGCUCAGUGGUAGAGCACAUGCUUAGCAUGCAUGAGGUCUGGAGUUCAAUCCCCAGGUACCUCCA
This 73-nucleotide transfer RNA is filed under the name Camelus bactrianus (Bactrian camel). It matches the Rfam family "tRNA". From Rfam's summary of the family: Transfer RNA (tRNA) molecules are approximately 80 nucleotides in length. Their secondary structure includes four short double-helical elements and three loops (D, anti-codon, and T loops). Further hydrogen bonds mediate the characteristic L-shaped molecular structure. tRNAs have two regions of fundamental functional importance: the anti-codon, which is responsible for specific mRNA codon recognition, and the 3' end, to which the tRNAs corresponding amino acid is attached (by aminoacyl-tRNA synthetases). tRNAs cope with the degeneracy of the genetic code in two manners: having more than one tRNA (with a specific anti-codon) for a particular amino acid; and 'wobble' base-pairing, i.e. permitting non-standard base-pairing at the 3rd anti-codon position. RNAcentral also lists the same sequence under 2 other names. The record is from Rfam by way of RNAcentral. Lineage: Eukaryota; Metazoa; Chordata; Mammalia; Artiodactyla; Camelidae.